RNAcentral lists this ribosomal RNA (471 nucleotides) under uncultured bacterium. RNAcentral's name for it is "bacterial SSU rRNA". It matches the Rfam family "Bacterial small subunit ribosomal RNA", at positions 355 to 825 of the family's 1533-position model. The record is from RNAcentral.
UGGGGAAUCUUGCGCAAUGGGCGAAAGCCUGACGCAGCGACGCCGCGUGAGUGAUGAAGGCCUUCGGGUUGUAAAGCUCUGUGGGGAGAGAAGAAUAAGUGCGGGCUAAUACUCCGCAUGAUGACGGUAUCUCCUUAGCAAGCACCGGCUAACUCUGUGCCAGCAGCCGCGGUAAGACAGAGGGUGCAAACGUUGUUCGGAAUUACUGGGCGUAAAGCGAGUGUAGGCGGUUUGGUAAGUCGGAUGUGAAAGCCCCGGGCUCAACCCGGGAAGUGCACUCGAUACUGCCAAGCUAGAGUAUCGGAGAGGUUGGUGGAAUUCUCGGUGUAGAGGUGAAAUUCGUAGAUAUCGAGAGGAACACCGGUGGCGAAGGCGGCCAACUGGACGAAUACUGACGCUGAGACUCGAAAGCGUGGGGAGCAAACAGGAUUAGAUACCCACGUAGUCCCUGAGCGGGCUGGCAAGGCGCAU